RNAcentral lists this long non-coding RNA (181 nucleotides) under Ficedula albicollis (Collared flycatcher). Its description in RNAcentral is "lncRNA (ENSFALG00000023793.1)". The record is from RNAcentral. Lineage: Eukaryota; Metazoa; Chordata; Aves; Passeriformes; Muscicapidae.
CCCAGCAGAAAAAAAGAUGCUGUUUAAGAAAAAGACAACAGUUUCUGCCAGUAUAAAAACAAAAGGCAACAAAGUGCUGCAGCAAAUGUGUGACUCACUUGAUGAACAAUAAAAAUUAAAAAGGGAAUGUGAAAUUUCUAUAAUUGCAGCAAUGGGCACAGUAAAACAAGAGUACAGAUGA